Molecule: ribosomal RNA, 433 nt
Filed under: uncultured bacterium
Lineage: Bacteria
Description: partial 16S ribosomal RNA
Rfam family: Bacterial small subunit ribosomal RNA
Source: RNAcentral
AACGAACGCUGGCGGCAUGCCUAACACAUGCAAGUCGAACGAGACCUUCGGGUCUAGUGGCGCACGGGUGCGUAACGCGUGGGAACCUGCCCUUAGGUUCGGAAUAACUCCCCGAAAGGGGUGCUAAUACCGGAUAAUGUCUUCGGACCAAAGAUUUAUCGCCUUUGGAUGGGCCCGCGUUGGAUUAGCUAGUUGGUAGGGUAAAAGCCUACCAAGGCGACGUUCCAUAGCUGGUCUGAGAGGAUGAUCAGCCACACUGGGACUGAGACACGGCCCAGACUCCUACGGGAGGCAGCAGUGGGGAAUAUUGGACAAUGGGCGAAAGCCUGAUCCAGCAAUGCCGCGUGAGUGAUGAAGGCCUUAGGGUUGUAAAGCUCUUUUACCCGGGAUGAUAAUGAUAGUACCGGGAGAAUAAGCUCCGGCUAACUCCGUG